RNAcentral lists this long non-coding RNA (404 nucleotides) under Rattus norvegicus (Norway rat). Its description in RNAcentral is "long non-coding RNA NONRATT016165". Lineage: Eukaryota; Metazoa; Chordata; Mammalia; Rodentia; Muridae. The record is from RNAcentral.
AUAAGGCUAAAAUUCUGGCCCUCUUAGAAGCCCUAUUCUUGCCCAAAAGACUGAGUAUUAUACAUUGUCCAGGACACCAGAAAGGGCACAACCCAGAGGCACGAAGAAACCGCUGGCCGAUGCCACGGCGCGAGAAGCGGCCAUGAGCAAAUAAAUCUUGCCCUUAAAUAGCCCAGACCAACCCACGCCCCCACCAGUGAGACAAACUAGUUGGGUUUAUGCCCAUGAGGACAUAGAGCUCCUAGAAAAAAAUGGGGGCCAUCUACCACCCUCAACUAAAACAGUGGGUCUACAAAGGACUUUUGAAUUGAUCUCCUUUUUACAUAAGAAGAUAAAAACCUUACUAGAUCGGGAAGAGAUAAAUCUGUGUUUUUUGGGACAAAGCGAUACAAAAGGUGACUGAG